UAGUCUGUCUACGUUAAAUCCCCAUCUAGUAAUGUAAGAUCCUCACUUGAAUGCUUAAAACCGCUCAUGUCUACAAGUUAUGCUAAAUCACUGGUUACAUCAGAAUUCUUAUGGUUUAGAGAUUAUUUAUAU
Molecule: non-coding RNA, 132 nt
Organism: Populus trichocarpa (black cottonwood)
Lineage: Eukaryota; Viridiplantae; Streptophyta; Magnoliopsida; Malpighiales; Salicaceae
Source: Rfam